RNAcentral lists this ribosomal RNA (404 nucleotides) under Verrucomicrobiota bacterium. RNAcentral describes it as "Verrucomicrobia bacterium partial 16S ribosomal RNA". It matches the Rfam family "Bacterial small subunit ribosomal RNA", at positions 355 to 776 of the family's 1533-position model. Lineage: Bacteria; Pseudomonadati; Verrucomicrobiota. The record is from RNAcentral.
UGGGGAAUAUUGGACAAUGGGCGCAAGCCUGAUCCAGCCAUGCCGCGUGAGUGAUGAAGGCCCUAGGGUUGUAAAGCUCUUUCACCGGUGAAGAUAAUGACGGUAACCGGAGAAGAAGCCCCGGCUAACUUCGUGCCAGCAGCCGCGGUAAUACGAAGGGGGCUAGCGUUGUUCGGAUUUACUGGGCGUAAAGCGCACGUAGGCGGACUUUUAAGUCAGGGGUGAAAUCCCGGGGCUCAACCCCGGAACUGCCUUUGAUACUGGAAGUCUUGAGUAUGGUAGAGGUGAGUGGAAUUCCGAGUGUAGAGGUGAAAUUCGUAGAUAUUCGGAGGAACACCAGUGGCGAAGGCGGCUCACUGGACUGCAACUGACACUGAGGCACGAAAGCGUGGGUAGCAAACAGG